AGAUAGAACAGUACUUUAAUUUAUUCGCCUGAAAAUUACAAGCAUAAGCUUAAAACUCAAAGGACUUGGCGGCGCUUUAGAUCCCCCUAGAGGAGCCUGUCCUAUAACCGAUAACCCCCGUUAAACCUUACCUCCUUUUGCCUUCAGUCUAUAUACCGCCGUCGUCAGCCUACCCUUUGAGGGUACUAUAGUAAGCAGAAUUGGUUAAGCCCAAGACGUCAGGUCAAGGUGUAGCAUAUAAGAAGAGAAGAGAUGGGCUACAUUUCCUAUUUUAGGGUCCACGGAAAAUGUAUUGAAACAAACAUAUUGUAGAAGGUUUUAGUAGUAAGUAAAAAAUAGAGCGUUUU
RNAcentral lists this ribosomal RNA (347 nucleotides) under Cynodonichthys hildebrandi. RNAcentral describes it as "partial 12S ribosomal RNA". It matches the Rfam family "Bacterial small subunit ribosomal RNA", at positions 841 to 1360 of the family's 1533-position model. The record is from RNAcentral. Lineage: Eukaryota; Metazoa; Chordata; Actinopteri; Cyprinodontiformes; Rivulidae.